CUGCCGCAGGCAGGCCUGAGGCGGCCUCAGUGCGUCAAGCACAACACCGAGGGCAAGGAUCGCCGCUCCAUUUGGAUGCCGUGCACACUGCACAUACAGUGUAUCAAUCCAAAGCCACACCAGGCGUGAGGCAAGCAUGCUGUUUCCACGAACAUUUUUUUGACACAACUUGUGUGUGUGUGUGUGUGUGUGUGGAUCCCCAGUUUUCAGCCCCCGCCGUGCUGCACCCAGGUCCAGCAGCAGGGAAGCGCCCAAAGCCUUUCCAUUAGGACAGAAUUUCCCGUACUCGCUAAACUGCGUCAUGUGUGUGUAUGUGUGUUACAUGGUUGGGGGUGCGUGAACCCAUACCUGUAAAACUACCCAUACGAGCCGAAGGCCCAAGGGCAAUAUCUAUACGCCUAAAAGCCACGGAGAACAGGAAACACCGCGUCAUGUGUGACUCUGACCACUAAAAUGCGAUACGGGAGAACACACGCGCGUGCGCAGAAUUUGAAGGAAGGCUUGAUGACAUCGUUUCGGGAACCGAACUGCCAACGUCGGUAUGAUGGCGCGCCCAAAACGUCGAGCCUCUGUGAGGACAUACGUUACUAUACGGCCGGGGAUUCACUCCGUUUGAAACCGGGGCAGUACAACGACCUCCACGACCGCAAAUUGAGGCACAUUGCAGAGCUGCCCCGGCGAGGUGAAAUUCUGCAGGACAACGUCGCCGAGCUCUGCACGUAAUAAAACACGGACGGUUGGGAUAGCUGUAGGUUUGAUUGGCAUUGUUUAAGAAGACGAACUCGACUUUCAGAGUGGGUGCGGCUGCUCAGCAUUCUCUUGCAGAGGGAAAGCAUCCGUACCGAUACCCGAAACGCAGAUAGCUCUUCUGCGGUAUUUGUUCGAAUAAUACCACAUGACGUCGUGUCUUGGAAAGGACUGCAGCCGUAAGCACGGUACUGCAGCGAGGAAAACUGCUGUCGGACCGCCGCAAACGCGGCGAGUCCGAAAUCGGUCGUAAAUAUGCCUGUAGUUGCAGAUUGGCCCGGAUAGGCCCGGCAGGGCACCGUUCUUCACGGGCUGCACAUGUUUGCCUAUGUGGCGGAGGCUUUGCACCUUGUAGCAGUCAACACCGUUGGGGGAUUACCUUCAAGGGGUGCGCAAGGACUCACCUGGGCCCGGACUUGCGAUUCGUUCGCUCCUGCCGUCCUGCUCUUACCGUCAGCUGCACAUUCAUACAAGGAAAUAAGAUUAGGCAUUAGAUGUCACCACCUAACUAAUGCCCAUCUUCUCGUGCUCGGCCCAUGAAACAGUCAGCUGGACUCAUGUGUACCGGUAAUCAGUAUGACUAGUACCAGCAACGACUAUUUACAGGGUCAUGAAUGAAUUUAUACAUAUAAAGUCCAUAAAAUCGAUAUCUGUAAAACAAAAGUGUAAGAGAGCUCUUGUUACGAGUGUAUAGGAACAUCAAUUGCAACUGCAGCCUUGAAAAUGCCGACCCUUGCCGAGCUCGAAUUGGAGGUGAAGGACAGCCUGACAAAGCUAGCAUACCCUGAUAGGCCUUGGGUGAAGAAUGUGGCUGCUCCAGAUGGGAGUCAUUGCUACGAUGUCGUUAUCGUGGGUGGCGGACAGUGUGGGCUCA
Molecule: long non-coding RNA, 1621 nt
Filed under: Volvox carteri
Lineage: Eukaryota; Viridiplantae; Chlorophyta; Chlorophyceae; Chlamydomonadales; Volvocaceae
Description: long non-coding RNA (VCAR_LNC000200)
Source: RNAcentral